Molecule: ribosomal RNA, 497 nt
Filed under: Nemertea sp. Antarctic ARM-2008
Lineage: Eukaryota; Metazoa; Nemertea
Description: partial 16S ribosomal RNA
Rfam family: Bacterial large subunit ribosomal RNA
Source: RNAcentral
CUUUUUAUAACAAGUGGUUUCUGCCCUAUGAUUUAUUUUAAAUGGCCGCGGUAUUUUGACCGUGCAAAGGUAGCAUAAUCAUUUGCCUUUUUAUUGGGGGCUAGAAUGAAAGAAAGCAUAAAGAUAUAGCUGUCUCUUCUACAUAAAUAUAAGUUGCUGUCAUGGUGAAGAAGCCAUGAUCUAAAAAAAAGACAAGAAGACCCUAAUAAGCUUUAUUUUUAUGUCCUGUUUUUUAUCUUUAAAGAAUAAAAAACAGUACUUUAUGAAUUUGGUUGGGGUGACUAAAAAGGAAAAAAUCCUUUUUUUUCUUAAAAACUAGUGUGUUUAAAAAAGAUCCAGGUUUUCUGAUUAAAUGUAUAAGUUACUAUAGGGAUAACAGCGUAAUUUUUUCAGAGAGUUCAUAUCGAAGAAAAAGAUUGCGACCUCGAUGUUGACUUAUUAUCUCCUGUUAAGGUGUAGUAGCUAAAAAGGUUAGUCUGUUCGACUAUUAAAAUAAU